This 429-nucleotide ribosomal RNA is filed under the name Gemmatimonadota bacterium. RNAcentral describes it as "Gemmatimonadetes bacterium partial 16S ribosomal RNA". It matches the Rfam family "Bacterial small subunit ribosomal RNA", at positions 355 to 776 of the family's 1533-position model. Lineage: Bacteria; Pseudomonadati; Gemmatimonadota. The record is from RNAcentral.
UAGGGAAUCUUCGGCAAUGGACGAAAGUCUGACCGAGCAACGCCGCGUGAGUGAAGAAGGUUUUCGGAUCGUAAAACUCUGUUGUUAGAGAAGAACAAGGACGUUAGUAACUGAACGUCCCCUGACGGUAUCUAACCAGAAAGCCACGGCUAACUACGUGCCAGCAGCCGCGGUAAUACGUAGGUGGCAAGCGUUGUCCGGAUUUAUUGGGCGUAAAGCGAGCGCAGGCGGUUUCUUAAGUCUGAUGUGAAAGCCCCCGGCUCAACCGGGGAGGGUCAUUGGAAACUGGGAGGCUUGGGUGCGGAAGGAGAGGGUGGAAUUCCAUGUGUAGCGGUGAAAUGCGUAGAUAUAUGGAGGAACACCAGUGGCGAAGGCGGCUCUCUGGUCUGUAACUGACGCUGAGGCUCGAAAGCGUGGGGAGCAAACAGG